RNAcentral lists this ribosomal RNA (301 nucleotides) under uncultured bacterium. RNAcentral describes it as "partial 16S ribosomal RNA". It matches the Rfam family "Bacterial small subunit ribosomal RNA", at positions 509 to 807 of the family's 1533-position model. The record is from RNAcentral.
CAGUCGCCGCGGUAAUGCGGAGGGGGCUAGCGUUGUUCGGAAUUACUGGGCGUAAAGCGCACGUAGGCGGCUUGGUAAGUUAGGGGUGAAAGCCUGGAGCUCAACUCCAGAAUUGCCUUUAAGACUGCCGAGCUAGCAGGUGAGAGAGGUAAGUGGAAUCCCGAGUGUAGAGGUGAAAUUCGUAGAUAUUCGGAAGAACACCAGUGGCGAAGGCGGCUUACUGGCUCAUACUGGACGCUGAGGUGCGAAAGCGUGGGGAGCAAACAGGAUUAGAUACCCGGGUAGUCCCUGUCUCUUAUAC